AUGCUCUCUCAAGGUUUCAAAAGGUCUAAUUAUGAUAGUUGUGUUUAUUUGAAAACUGUCAAUGGUUCAACUAUUUAUUUGCUCCUUUAUGUUGAUGAUAUGCUAAUUGCUGCAAAGUGUAUGUCAGAGAUUAAUGACCUAAAGAAGCAAUUGAGUAAUGAAUUUGAGAUGAAGGAUUUGGGUGCAGCAAAGACAAUACUUGGCAUGGAAAUAUCCAGAGAUAGACCAUCUGGAAAAGUAUAUCUAAGUCAGAAGGGAUAUAUUGAUAAAGUUCUUCGUCGUUUUAAUAUGCAUAAUGCCAAGCCGGUAAGUACCCCGUUAGCUACACACUUCAAAUUAUCAUCAGCUUUAUGUCCUAAGUCAGAUGCCGAUAUUGAGUACAUGUCUAGAGUUCCCUAUUCAAGUGUAGUUGGUUCACUUAUGUAUGCCAUGGUUUUUUCUCGUCCGGAUUUAUCAUAUGCUUUGAGUGUUGUCAGUAGAUACAGGGCUAAUCCUGGAAAGGAGCAUUGGAAAGCAGUUUAG
RNAcentral lists this ribosomal RNA (522 nucleotides) under Triticum aestivum (bread wheat). RNAcentral's name for it is "partial small subunit ribosomal RNA". The record is from RNAcentral. Lineage: Eukaryota; Viridiplantae; Streptophyta; Magnoliopsida; Poales; Poaceae.